Molecule: long non-coding RNA, 2563 nt
Organism: Mus musculus (house mouse)
Lineage: Eukaryota; Metazoa; Chordata; Mammalia; Rodentia; Muridae
Product: predicted gene, 51886
Exons: 2
Source: RefSeq, a predicted model, not a curated record
GGCCUUUUCUUUUUAAAAUAAUAUUCUAAUAACAAUGUACAUAUUUAUAUUUAAAACUUAAUUCAUUAUUGAGAACUUGCAUAAAUGUUAGCUCACUUAAGUUAUAUUUUUGAUAUAUGCUUUUUUAACACUUUAAGUUUGAAUAUAUAUGUCAGUUGUCAACUCUGAGCAUUUUUUUUUAAUGUUUGGAUAGUUUGCCUGCAUAUAUGCCUAUAUACCAUGUGCAUACCUAGUGACUAUGGAGGCCAGAAGGGAAAUGAUUCCCUGGAAGUGUAAUAACACAUGGUGUGAGCCCACCAUGUGGAUGCUGGGAAACGAAUCAGAGUACUGUGGAAGAGCAACCAGUGUUGUUCACCUCUCAGCCACAAGCCUUAAUCAUUCAUUCAUUCAUUCAUUCAUUCGUUCAUUUUUAUGAAUGUGGGGUAGAUGUCUUCAUACACUAUAGGAGAAGGCAUCAGAUCUCACCACAGAUGAUUGUGAGCCACCAUGUGGUUGCUGGGAUUUGAACUCAGGACCUCUGGAAGAGCAGUCGUACUCUUAACCAUUGAGCCAUCUCUUCAGCCCCCAAUUAAUUCUUAAUGCUGCUUAAUGUCUCUUAAAAUUUCUGUAGUUGCUUUAUACAAAUUUUUGUUUAGUAACCUAUUUAUUUAUUUAUUUUGGUUUUUUAAGACAGUGUUUCUCUGUGUAGCCCUGGCUGUCCUGGUACUCACUCUGAAGACCAGGCUGGCCUUGAACUCAGAAAUCCUGACUCUGCCUCCCAAGUGCUGGGAUUAAAAGCGUGCGACAUCACUGCCUGGCUUCCUUUUUUUUUUUUUUAAAGACAAGGUUUCUCUGUGUAUCCCUGGCUGUCCUGGAACUUGUAGACCAGGUUGUCCUCAAACUCAGCAUGUUUCUGCCCCGAGUACUAAAUGGUACUAAAGGCAUGUACCAUCAUGCUCAGCUCUGAAUUUGAGUUGAAUAUAUAAAUUUACCCAGACAAAAACAGACACUGCCCUACAUGAGGCUCAAACUUACAACCCAGGGAUUAAGAGUUCCAUGCUCUACCAACUGAGCUAGCCAGGCCUCUAAUUACCUAGUAUAGCUAUUAAUUUGCCUCUUGAACUUUUGAGUAUUGAGAAAGAAGAGUUCAUGUGCUAAUUUAAGCCAAAGGAUUAAUCAACUUUUCUUUUAUAUAUGUUGAAGAGACUUUAGUAGGUGAAGAUUAAUAUAAAUUUAUCUUGGAGAACUGGAUCAUUGUUUCUAUAUUUUAUCCAGAUUAUUGGUUUAAAUGUUUUUAAGAAAAUCUUCUAUUUCAUGUUUUACAAUUUCAUACAUGUAUAUACAGUGUAUCUUAAUUAUAUCCACCCACCCUUGACCCUGAUCUGCCUUCCCACCUCUUCUGGAAGUCCCUUAAAAUGUAUCCCUCCCUCCCUUCUGGUAACCCACCAAGUCCUGUCAGUGCUGCCUGCUGGAACAUUAGCUGGUCUUGCUGGCGUGGUUUUAUGCAGUUAACAGAGCUGCAGUGACUUCAUUAGUACAGCAGCCAUGUCAUGUCAUGUUCCAUCAAGAAGAGCUUUUGAAAUCCUCUGACUCUUCGAUUUCUUCUAUGUUUACCAAAUUAAGUAUUUUUAUAUGAAGUCUGUUAUUUCUCCAAAAUUCAUUCUUAAAAUACUUUAAUUCUCAUACAAAGGCCAAAGUUAUCCUGUGCCUAUAUGCUUUUGUAGAGUAGUGCUAUAACUUUAGAAUAGAUUAAUUUUAAAUAAUUUUUGUAACUUUUAAACUCUGCUUGGUUUUUUAUUUUUACUGUAAAGACUUUAUGCAAAAGAGUGUUUACUUAAAUGAAUGUGUCUGUGCACCAUGUGGCCUACAAAAGCCAGAAGAGGGUGUCUUAUCCUCUAGAACUGGAGUUACCGAUGGUUGUGAACUGUUGCAUACGUGCUAGAAAUCAAAACCAGGUCCUCUGCAAGAACAGCAAAUGUUCUUAACCACUGAGCCAUCUCUCCAGCUCCUCUGUUGUUCUUUUUCAACUCUACAAAGUAUUUGUCAAAUCAACCAGUGUUUCUUUAGGUCAAGCUACAGGUUUUCUUUUCUCUGGUGUGUAUGCCCAGUAUAUAAGGAGAUCAAAAGAGAGUAUCAGAUCCCUUGCAACUGGUGGUACUGAUGGUACUGGUUGUGAGACACCAUGUGGAUACUAGGAAUCAAAUGUAGGCCUUCUGCAAGAGCAACAAACACUUUUAACCACUGGGCCAGCUCUCCAGGCCUUCUUAAUUUUUAAAAGACUUUAUUUUAUAUGUGUGCAUGAUGUGCCUAUAUUAGUGUGCAUGAACAUCAGUGAAUGGCAUCUGAUCCCUUGGAGUUAGAAAAAUCCCAGAAAGUAAUCCACAGCUGCUUUGUGGGUUCUGGAAACUUAACCCAGGUCUUCAAAAAGCUGUGUCCACACACACACACACACACACACACACACACACACACACACACACACACACACACGAUGUCCACUGAGCCAUCUCUUCAGCCCUUACAAUAUAUUCUUUGUUUCUUUUGUUAUAGUGAUGUUCGUUUUAUCUUCUGAUUGCUUUUUGCU